This is a long non-coding RNA of Salarias fasciatus (jewelled blenny), 450 nucleotides long. RefSeq lists it as uncharacterized. The record is from RefSeq and is a predicted model, not a curated record. The transcript has 3 exons. Lineage: Eukaryota; Metazoa; Chordata; Actinopteri; Blenniiformes; Blenniidae.
CCUCUCCAGCCUGCAGUCACAACUCACUGACUCCUUCCAGGAAGAACACACCUCACCAGCAGCUCCUCUCUCCGUGGACCAACAAGCCAACUGCUGAGACAUGGACCCCUGCCAGUGCAAGUGCAAAAAGCCUGAAUGCCACAAAUGUGACUCAAGCUGCUGUUGCUGCGAUUGUUGCUGCAGCAAAUGCAAGAAGAGCUGCUGCCCAUGCUGCCCACCCGGGUGCAGCAAAUGUGCCUCUGACUGCGUGUGCAAAGAGAAGACAUGCAAUUCCAGCUGCUGCUGAUGACCGUCCUGCAGCACCAGCACAUCCCUGCCGCCAUGGUGGAGCACUUUGAAUCAACAUGACCAUGAUGGAGCACUUUAUAUGAAUAUGGCCUGAUACAUUUACAUUUGUAUGGAUUAUCUAUUUUGUAUUUGGAGUGUAAAUAAACAUAUUUGAUAACUUCA